Molecule: ribosomal RNA, 301 nt
Filed under: uncultured bacterium
Lineage: Bacteria
Description: partial 16S ribosomal RNA
Rfam family: Bacterial small subunit ribosomal RNA
Source: RNAcentral
CAGUCGCCGCGGUAAUACGAAGGGUGCAAGCGUUACUCGGAAUUACUGGGCGUAAAGCGUGUGUAGGUGGUUGUUUAAGUCUGUCGUGAAAGCCCUGGGCUCAACCUGGGAAUUGCGAUGGAUACUGGGCGACUAGAGUGCGGUAGAGGAUAGUGGAGUUUCCGGUGUAGCAGUGAAAUGCGUAGAGAUCGGAAGGAACAUCUGUGGCGAAGGCGACUACCUGGGCCAACACUGACACUGAGACACGAAAGCGUGGGGAGCAAACAGGAUUAGAUACCCGCGUAGUCCCUGUCUCUUAUAC